RNAcentral lists this transfer RNA (72 nucleotides) under bacterium ADurb.Bin157. RNAcentral describes it as "tRNA-Lys". It matches the Rfam family "tRNA". From Rfam's summary of the family: Transfer RNA (tRNA) molecules are approximately 80 nucleotides in length. RNAcentral also lists the same sequence under 2 other names. The record is from RNAcentral.
GGGCCGCUAGCUCAGGGGUAGAGCAUCUGACUUUUAAUCAGAGGGUCGUUGGUUCAAAUCCAACGCGGCUCA